Molecule: ribosomal RNA, 301 nt
Filed under: uncultured bacterium
Lineage: Bacteria
Description: partial 16S ribosomal RNA
Rfam family: Bacterial small subunit ribosomal RNA
Source: RNAcentral
CAGCCGCCACGGGAAUACGUAGGGUGCGAGCGUUAAUCGGAAUUACUGGGCGUAAAGCGUGCGCAGGCGGUUAUAUAAGACAGAUGUGAAAUCCCCGGGCUCAACCUGGGACCUGCAUUUGUGACUGUAUAGCUAGAGUACGGUAGAGGUGGAUGGAAUUCCGCGUGUAGCAGUGAAAUGCGUAGAUAUGCGGAGGAACACCGAUGGCGAAGGCAAUCCCCUGGACCUGUACUGACGCUCAUGCACGAAAGCGUGGGGAGCAAACAGGAUUAGAGACCCGCGUAGUCCCUGUCUCUUAUAC